RNAcentral lists this ribosomal RNA (292 nucleotides) under uncultured bacterium. Its description in RNAcentral is "partial 16S ribosomal RNA". It matches the Rfam family "Archaeal small subunit ribosomal RNA", at positions 455 to 747 of the family's 1478-position model. The record is from RNAcentral.
GUGCCAGCCGCCGCGGUAAUACCAGCACCCCGAGUGGUCGGGACGAUUAUUGGGCCUAAAGCAUCCGUAGCCGGUACUGCAAGUCUUCCGUUAAAUCCACCUGCUCAACAGUUGGGCUGCGGAGGAUACUACAGCGCUAGGAGGCGGGAGAGGCAAGCGGUACUCAUUGGGUAGGGGUAAAAUCCACUGAUCCAUUGAAGACCACCAGUGGCGAAGGCGGCUUGCCAGAACGCGCUCGACGGUGAGGGAUGAAAGCUGGGGGAGCAAACCGGAUUAGAUACCCCGGUAGUCC